RNAcentral lists this long non-coding RNA (3353 nucleotides) under Sus scrofa (pig). RNAcentral describes it as "lncRNA (ENSSSCG00005034468.1)". Lineage: Eukaryota; Metazoa; Chordata; Mammalia; Artiodactyla; Suidae. The record is from RNAcentral.
CAGGCCUUCUCAAUGGUUUGGAAUAGACACUGCUAACAAGAGUAUUAGUAGUAAACUAAGAAGAACAGAGAAAUUGAAUGAAAAGUGAGAACAUGGAGAGAGGCAAAAUGUGCAGGUCUGUGAACUGGAGAUUGGCACUUGCCAUCUGCCUCUGCACAGAUUGACUCAUGAGCUGCUGCAGCUGCUGUCCCUCUACACCCCUGAAAGGAGCUCAGGGCGGAGAUCAGGGCCCUUAGGUGCGACCAGUAGUAGAUAUCUGUGGUGAGAAGGCCACUGUGGUACAAAGUGGGAGUCAGAGCUCAGGAAGGGGCACAAGGACCAAAGGCAGCAACAAACUCAAUAUAAGUGAACACACUGAACACCUAUCAAGACACAUAGCAAAAAAAAAAAAAAAAAUCAAAACCAAAACCAAAAUAAUACCAAGGACCUCAUGGAGAAAAAGCUGGUUCUAGGUCUGGAGAAGGGAAAGUUCAAAAUGAUGCUGGAAUAAGUAUCCUGUUCUGACAGAAGGAAAGAUGUGCCCAAGGAAGUGAUGGAAACAUGUCAAAAAGAUACAGAGACCAGCUGCGAUGGGCUCCCAUAAGCCUUCCCAAUGGUAAUUUUCACUAUCUGGGAUUUUCCGAUUAUGUGCUGAGAUAGGUAUUGCUGGUUGCUUACCCUAUUGGUUCUUUCUUUCUUCAUUACUAACAUAACCUCAGUUUUAUUCAGGAGAGUGUACUCAGAAAAUUUGAUGUCACAGCCUGCCUUUUGUUUCUGGUAGUUUGACCAAGAAGAUAUUACCAGAAGGCUACUGGGUGGGUCUUUCAGAAAGGCAUUGUUUCCAUGAUACAAUGUAAUAGACUCUUGGAGUUCCCGUCGUGGCACAGUGGUUAACGAAUCCGACUAGGAACCAUGAGGUUGCAGGUUCAAUCCCUGCCUUUGCUCAGUGGGUUAACGAUCCGGCGUUGCCGUGAGCUGUGGUGUAGGUUGCAGACACGGCUCGGAUCCAGCGUUGUUGUGGCUCUGGCAUAGGCUGGUGGCUACAGCUCCGAUUCGACCCCUAGCCUGGGAACCUCCAUAUGCCUCGAGAGCGGCCCAAGAAAAUGGCAAUAAGACAAAAAAAAAAAAAAAGAAUUUAUAAUGUAACAGACUCAUCUGCCAUACAUCUUUUCCACUCAUAGACUUGGCUGAAUAAACAUGAAAACAUUAUGUAAACUUAUGAGUUUCAGUUUUCUCACCCCUUACGUUCAACCCUAUGAAGAUUGUAUCUUAAAACAUUGAUUCAUUUAUUGUUUUAAAAUUAUUGUUUCAAGCCCUUAGAACAUAAAAGCAUGGAGAAAAGAAUAUGGGACAUGACUCCUAAAGAGUUUCUAGUGAGGGAAGCCAGUACCUUACAAAAAAGAGAACAAUAUCCUGGGUUACAAAUUAUUAUGAAGUGCAGGGGUGAGUGACAAUGUAGGAAGACAAGCAUCAUUAAUGGAGACAAAAGAGACCGUCAAGAAAAUGUUGCUUCUUUCCUUCAUCAUUAAACUUUUCAAAAUAGUUAUUUAUACUCGUCUCCAUUCUUUGUCCUCCCUCUCACUUUCCAAUCUGUUCUAAUCUGUCUUCUCCCAUCUCUACCUUGUCACUGCAAUGGAAACAGCAUGUAUUAUAUCACCAGUGAUCUCCAUGUCUCUAUAAAGAAUGUACAUUUUUUGGCACCUGGUCUUUCUCAGGUCGCCCUGAGAAAAUCUCUCCUAGGAGGUAAGGGGAAGCUAGGAUAUGUAGGAGUUUUUGCAACAAAGGGAAGGAAGUAGGAACAAAAGAUAUACAGAAAACCAGUUUUUUAAGGUAAGAUGUAACGGUCUGGGCUUAUUGGAAUCCUUUGAUAUACACCUCAGUUAAGGGCGGCAUUCUUUGUUUCUUUCCCAAGUUCCCUCAGAGCUCACUGGCUCACCCUAGGGAGUGGCUGCGCUCACAAAUGACCUCACAGAUGACAUCUUUUGUUUUGUUCACUUAACUACAGUCUGGGAGGCAGUAUUUCAGACAGCUCCGAAAUACCGCCUCUAAGAGGAAAGGGGAAAUGUCAGGAUGUAAGUGAUAAAGGGGAGGGGAGGGGCAUGCAGCCAUGCCCACGUUUUGCAGAAGCUUGCUGCUGGUCUUGUGAAGGUUCCUACUCGUCACAGACAUUAGUUGCCACGAAGGAUUUUAGUGUUUUUCUAGAUAUGAGAAGAUGCAAGAAUUGGGCUCGUAAAAACUUCUAAAAAUAUCUAUCUGAAGACCUGUUGUUCCAGUUUUCCCAAAGCACAGAGUGCCUCCCUCCUGAUAUCCACCCUGGGCUCCACUCAGGGGGUGCUGUGAGUCUGCAGCUUCUGUGGCUCAUGCCUUAAUCCAUGCAGAGGCAGAUGGCAAGUGCCAAACUCCAUUUCAUGACCAUUUCAUCCCAUGCUAGGAAUUCUCAUUCUGAGGUCUGGCAAAGAUUUUGUUGGUAGACCACUCAGUGUGCUUUCAGUGGACUAAGCCUUUUUUUUUUUUUUUUUUUUUUCUUCUCUUUUUGCCUUUUCUAGGGCUGCUCCUGUGGCAUAUGGAGGUUCCCAGGCUCGGGGUCUAAUCAGAGCUGUAGCCACCGGCCUACGCCAGAGCUGCAGCAACACAGGAUCUGAGCCACGUCUGCAACCUACGCCACAGCUCACGGCAACACCGGAUCCUUAACCCACUGAGUGAGGCCAGGGAUCGAACCCGAAACUUCAUGGUUCCUAGUCGGAUUCGUUAACCACUGAGCCAUGAAAGGAACUCCUGGACUAAGCCUUAUUAACAGUAGCUGAAAGUCUCUGGACCACCUGUCUUACGAGUCUGUGAUGCUCCAGGGAAAUAUUCUCACUUAUGACAUCUUCCCAUAUCUAGAGUUACACUAUUACAGUCAUUGCUCUGGUAAAGAACUAUAUUUGGUCAACUGUUUCAAGUCACCCAGUCAUCAUUAUUUUGUUGCUGGCUUAGCUACACAUUUGGUUAUACAAGUAACAAUAAUCUUGCAAAAGAGGCAAAGUACAAACAAUAUAACUAAUGACAUCAAUAGAGUUAUGAGUAAAUAGUUAAGACAAGAGUUUCUUAUACCAAACCAAUUGUAGAAUAUGUUUGUUGGAGUUCCUGUCAUGGCUCAGUGGUAAUGAACCUGACUAGUAUCCAUGAGGACACAGGUUCAAUCCCUGGCCCCAAUCAUGGGUUAAGGAUCCAGUGUUGCCAUGAGCUGUGGUGUAGUUUGCAGUUGUGGUUCAGAUCCCACGUUGCUGUGACUGUGGUGUAGGCCAGCCCCUGUAGCUCCAAUUUGACCCCUAGCCUGGGAACUUCCAUAUGCUGCAGGUGCAGCCCUAAAAAGAAAAAAAGAAAAAGAAAAA